UACGGAGGGUGCGAGCGUUAAUCGGAAUUACUGGGCGUAAAGCGCGCGUAGGCGGCCAAGUCAGUCGGAUGUGAAAGCCCCGGGCUUAACCUGGGAAUUGCAUUCGAUACUGCUUGGCUAGAGUUUGGUAGAGGAUGGCGGAAUUCCGGGUGUAGCGGUGAAAUGCGUAGAUAUCCGGAGGAACAUCAGUGGCGAAGGCGGCCAUCUGGACCAAAACUGACGCUGAGGUGCGAAAGCGUGGGUAGCAAACAGG
RNAcentral lists this ribosomal RNA (253 nucleotides) under uncultured bacterium. RNAcentral describes it as "partial 16S ribosomal RNA". It matches the Rfam family "Bacterial small subunit ribosomal RNA", at positions 524 to 776 of the family's 1533-position model. The record is from RNAcentral.